RNAcentral lists this long non-coding RNA (354 nucleotides) under Homo sapiens (human). Its description in RNAcentral is "non-protein coding lnc-SEPT9-3:8". Lineage: Eukaryota; Metazoa; Chordata; Mammalia; Primates; Hominidae. The record is from RNAcentral.
ACACCUCAGAGCACUGGCAUGUUUACUGUGGUGUUCUACAUACGGCUCGGGAGCCAGCAAGUGCGUAUGAAGCCCCUUCACAUGGCUAGUGGCAUCCUAAGGACCCGGCGACAAUUAGUCAUGGCGUCAUCGAACACCAGGCUGGAGGAGGUCUUGGAUGCCACAGCUCCUUUUGAAUUUCAAAGACGUUCAAAUCCCCAUCUGGCUGUUACACUUUUAGGCUAUUGAGAGUGAAAACAAGCACUGACAUGAACACCCAACCAGCUGCCGGUGACAUCGUCCCCUUCUGAGAUCUGAGGACAUGGAUACCCAACCACCUGCCGGUGACAUCGUCUCCUUCUGAGAUCUGAGGAC